Molecule: transfer RNA, 100 nt
Organism: Plicaturopsis crispa FD-325 SS-3
Lineage: Eukaryota; Fungi; Basidiomycota; Agaricomycetes; Amylocorticiales; Amylocorticiaceae
Rfam family: tRNA
About the family: Transfer RNA (tRNA) molecules are approximately 80 nucleotides in length. Their secondary structure includes four short double-helical elements and three loops (D, anti-codon, and T loops). Further hydrogen bonds mediate the characteristic L-shaped molecular structure. tRNAs have two regions of fundamental functional importance: the anti-codon, which is responsible for specific mRNA codon recognition, and the 3' end, to which the tRNAs corresponding amino acid is attached (by aminoacyl-tRNA synthetases). tRNAs cope with the degeneracy of the genetic code in two manners: having more than one tRNA (with a specific anti-codon) for a particular amino acid; and 'wobble' base-pairing, i.e. permitting non-standard base-pairing at the 3rd anti-codon position.
Source: Rfam
GCCCGGCUAGCUCAAUCGGAUAGAGCGUCAGACUCUUAUGAGUGUCGGGUUUCAUCAGACCGUCAUCUGAAGGCUGCGAGUUCGACCCUCGCGUUGGGCU